RNAcentral lists this ribosomal RNA (713 nucleotides) under Bacillus sp. FJAT-4510. RNAcentral describes it as "bacterial SSU rRNA". It matches the Rfam family "Bacterial small subunit ribosomal RNA", at positions 59 to 755 of the family's 1533-position model. Lineage: Bacteria; Bacillati; Bacillota; Bacilli; Caryophanales; Bacillaceae. The record is from RNAcentral.
CAGUCGAGCGAAUCGAUGGGAGCUUGCUCCCUGAGAUUAGCGGCGGACGGGUGAGUAACACGUGGGCAACCUGCCUAUAAGACUGGGAUAACUUCGGGAAACCGGAGCUAAUACCGGAUACGUUCUUUUCUCGCAUGAGAGAAGAUGGAAAGACGGUUUACGCUGUCACUUAUAGAUGGGCCCGCGGCGCAUUAGCUAGUUGGUGAGGUAAUGGCUCACCAAGGCGACGAUGCGUAGCCGACCUGAGAGGGUGAUCGGCCACACUGGGACUGAGACACGGCCCAGACUCCUACGGGAGGCAGCAGUAGGGAAUCUUCCGCAAUGGACGAAAGUCUGACGGAGCAACGCCGCGUGAACGAAGAAGGCCUUCGGGUCGUAAAGUUCUGUUGUUAGGGAAGAACAAGUACCAGAGUAACUGCUGGUACCUUGACGGUACCUAACCAGAAAGCCACGGCUAACUACGUGCCAGCAGCCGCGGUAAUACGUAGGUGGCAAGCGUUGUCCGGAAUUAUUGGGCGUAAAGCGCGCGCAGGUGGUUCCUUAAGUCUGAUGUGAAAGCCCACGGCUCAACCGUGGAGGGUCAUUGGAAACUGGGGAACUUGAGUGCAGAAGAGGAAAGUGGAAUUCCAAGUGUAGCGGUGAAAUGCGUAGAGAUUUGGAGGAACACCAGUGGCGAAGGCGACUUUCUGGUCUGUAACUGACACUGAGGCGCG